Molecule: ribosomal RNA, 233 nt
Filed under: Myxococcales bacterium
Lineage: Bacteria; Pseudomonadati; Myxococcota; Myxococcia; Myxococcales
Description: partial 23S ribosomal RNA
Rfam family: Bacterial large subunit ribosomal RNA
Source: RNAcentral
GUACGAGAGGACCGGGAUGGACGGACCCCUGGUGUUUCGGUUGUUUUGCCAAAGGCAUUGCCGAGUAGCCAAGUCCGGAACGGAUAACCGCUGAAAGCAUCUAAGCGGGAAGCCAACCACAAGAUGAGGAUUCCCUGAAGGUUCGUUGUAGACCACGACGUUGAUAGGCCGGGUGUGGAAGCGCUGCAAGGCGUGGAGCUAACCGGUACUAAUAGACCGUUCGGCUUGGCCAG